This 72-nucleotide transfer RNA is filed under the name Bos taurus (domestic cattle). It matches the Rfam family "tRNA". From Rfam's summary of the family: Transfer RNA (tRNA) molecules are approximately 80 nucleotides in length. Their secondary structure includes four short double-helical elements and three loops (D, anti-codon, and T loops). Further hydrogen bonds mediate the characteristic L-shaped molecular structure. tRNAs have two regions of fundamental functional importance: the anti-codon, which is responsible for specific mRNA codon recognition, and the 3' end, to which the tRNAs corresponding amino acid is attached (by aminoacyl-tRNA synthetases). tRNAs cope with the degeneracy of the genetic code in two manners: having more than one tRNA (with a specific anti-codon) for a particular amino acid; and 'wobble' base-pairing, i.e. permitting non-standard base-pairing at the 3rd anti-codon position. The record is from Rfam by way of RNAcentral. RNAcentral also lists the same sequence under 3 other names. Lineage: Eukaryota; Metazoa; Chordata; Mammalia; Artiodactyla; Bovidae.
UCCCUGGUGGCUCAGAUGGUAAAGAAUCUGCCUGCAGUGCAGGAGACCCAGGUUCAUUCCCUGGGCUGGGAA